This 271-nucleotide ribosomal RNA is filed under the name uncultured bacterium. RNAcentral describes it as "partial 16S ribosomal RNA". It matches the Rfam family "Bacterial small subunit ribosomal RNA", at positions 28 to 290 of the family's 1533-position model. The record is from RNAcentral.
GACGAACGCUGGCGGCGUGCUUAACACAUGCAAGUCGAGCGGUAAGGCCCUUCGGGUACACGAGCGGCGAACGGGUGAGUAACACGUGGGUGACCUGCCCUCAGCUCUGGGAUAAGCCCGGGGAAACUGGGUCUAAUACCGGAUAUGACCUUCUGCCGCAUGGUGGUUGGUGGAAAGCCAGUUACAUUGUUUCUGGCGGCUGGGGAUGGGCCCGCGGCCUAUCAGCUUGUUGGUGGGGUGAUGGCCUACCAAGGCGGUGACGGGUAGCCGG